This 167-nucleotide microRNA precursor is filed under the name Pelobates cultripes (western spadefoot toad). Lineage: Eukaryota; Metazoa; Chordata; Amphibia; Anura; Pelobatidae. The record is from RNAcentral.
GCAGACACAUUUCAGCCAAUCAGCAGCAGACCCUCCCUCCCAGACCCUCCCAUCUCCUGGACAGCUCACUAAGAAUGCAGCUUCACAAUGAAUGUAAAAUGGAUGCUGUCCAGGAGGUGGGAGGGUCUGGGAGGGAGGGUCUGCUGCUGAUUGGCUGGAAUGUGUCU